AUUGAGCGCUGGCGGCAGGCCUAACACAUGCAAGUCGAACGGUAGCACAGAGAGCUUGCUCUCGGGUGACGAGUGGCGGACGGGUGAGUAACAUCUGGGAAACUGCCCGAUGGAGGGGGAUAACUACUGGAAACGGUAGCUAAUACCGCAUAACGUCGCAAGACCAAAGUGGGGGACCUUCGGGCCUCACACCAUCGGAUGUGCCCAGAUGGGAUUAGCUAGUAGGUGGGGUAAUGGCUCACCUAGGCGACGAUCCCUAGCUGGUCUGAGAGGAUGACCAGCCACACUGGAACUGAGACACGGUCCAGACUCCUACGGGAGGCAGCAGUGGGGAAUAUUGCACAAUGGGCGCAAGCCUGAUGCAGCCAUGCCGCGUGUAUGAAGAAGGCCUUCGGGUUGUAAAAUACUUUCAGCGGGGAGGAAGGCGGUGAAGUUAAUAGCUUCACCGAUUGACGUUACCCGCAGAAGAAGCACCGGCUAACUCCGUGCCAGCCGCCGCAGUAA
RNAcentral lists this ribosomal RNA (504 nucleotides) under uncultured bacterium. RNAcentral's name for it is "partial 16S ribosomal RNA". It matches the Rfam family "Bacterial small subunit ribosomal RNA", at positions 30 to 523 of the family's 1533-position model. The record is from RNAcentral.